GGGUUGUGAGGUUAAGCGACUAAGCGUACACGGUGGAUGCCCUGGCAGUCAGAGGCGAUGAAGGACGUGCUAAUCUGCGAUAAGCGUCGGUAAGGUGAUAUGAACCGUUAUAACCGGCGAUUUCCGAAUGGGGAAACCCAGUGUGAUUCGUCACACUAUCAUUAACUGAAUCCAUAGGUUAAUGAGGCGAACCGGGGGAACUGAAACAUCUAAGUACCCCGAGGAAAAGAAAUCAACCGAGAUUCCCCCAGUAGCGGCGAGCGAACGGGGAGCAGCCCAGAGCCUGAAUCAGUGUGUGUGUUAGUGGAAGCGUCUGGAAAGGCGCGCGAUACAGGGUGACAGCCCCGUACACAAAAAUGCACAUACUGUGAGCUCGAUGAGUAGGGCGGGACACGUGGUAUCCUGUCUGAAUAUGGGGGGACCAUCCUCCAAGGCUAAAUACUCCUGACUGACCGAUAGUGAACCAGUACCGUGAGGGAAAGGCGAAAAGAACCCCGGCGAGGGGAGUGAAAAAGAACCUGAAACCGUGUACGUACAAGCAGUGGGAGCACGCUUAGGCGUGUGACUGCGUACCUUUUGUAUAAUGGGUCAGCGACUUAUAUUCUGUAGCAAGGUUAACCGAAUAGGGGAGCCGAAGGGAAACCGAGUCUUAACUGGGCGUUAAGUUGCAGGGUAUAGACCCGAAACCCGGUGAUCUAGCCAUGGGCAGGUUGAAGGUUGGGUAACACUAACUGGAGGACCGAACCGACUAAUGUUGAAAAAUUAGCGGAUGACUUGUGGCUGGGGGUGAAAGGCCAAUCAAACCGGGAGAUAGCUGGUUCUCCCCGAAAGCUAUUUAGGUAGCGCCUCGUGAAUUCAUCUCCGGGGGUAGAGCACUGUUUCGGCAAGGGGGUCAUCCCGACUUACCAACCCGAUGCAAACUGCGAAUACCGGAGAAUGUUAUCACGGGAGACACACGGCGGGUGCUAACGUCCGUCGUGAAGAGGGAAACAACCCAGACCGCCAGCUAAGGUCCCAAAGUCAUGGUUAAGUGGGAAACGAUGUGGGAAGGCCCAGACAGCCAGGAUGUUGGCUUAGAAGCAGCCAUCAUUUAAAGAAAGCGUAAUAGCUCACUGGUCGAGUCGGCCUGCGCGGAAGAUGUAACGGGGCUAAACCAUGCACCGAAGCUGCGGCAGCGACGCUUAUGCGUUGUUGGGUAGGGGAGCGUUCUGUAAGCCUGCGAAGGUGUGCUGUGAGGCAUGCUGGAGGUAUCAGAAGUGCGAAUGCUGACAUAAGUAACGAUAAAGCGGGUGAAAAGCCCGCUCGCCGGAAGACCAAGGGUUCCUGUCCAACGUUAAUCGGGGCAGGGUGAGUCGACCCCUAAGGCGAGGCCGAAAGGCGUAGUCGAUGGGAAACAGGUUAAUAUUCCUGUACUUGGUGUUACUGCGAAGGGGGGACGGAGAAGGCUAUGUUGGCCGGGCGACGGUUGUCCCGGUUUAAGCGUGUAGGCUGGUUUUCCAGGCAAAUCCGGAAAACUAAGGCUGAGGCGUGAUGACGAGGCACUACGGUGCUGAAGCAACAAAUGCCCUGCUUCCAGGAAAAGCCUCUAAGCAUCAGGUAACAUCAAAUCGUACCCCAAACCGACACAGGUGGUCAGGUAGAGAAUACCAAGGCGCUUGAGAGAACUCGGGUGAAGGAACUAGGCAAAAUGGUGCCGUAACUUCGGGAGAAGGCACGCUGAUAUGUAGGUGAAGUCCCUCGCGGAUGGAGCUGAAAUCAGUCGAAGAUACCAGCUGGCUGCAACUGUUUAUUAAAAACACAGCACUGUGCAAACACGAAAGUGGACGUAUACGGUGUGACGCCUGCCCGGUGCCGGAAGGUUAAUUGAUGGGGUUAGCGCAAGCGAAGCUCUUGAUCGAAGCCCCGGUAAACGGCGGCCGUAACUAUAACGGUCCUAAGGUAGCGAAAUUCCUUGUCGGGUAAGUUCCGACCUGCACGAAUGGCGUAAUGAUGGCCAGGCUGUCUCCACCCGAGACUCAGUGAAAUUGAACUCGCUGUGAAGAUGCAGUGUACCCGCGGCAAGACGGAAAGACCCCGUGAACCUUUACUAUAGCUUGACACUGAACAUUGAGCCUUGAUGUGUAGGAUAGGUGGGAGGCUUUGAAGUGUGGACGCCAGUCUGCAUGGAGCCGACCUUGAAAUACCACCCUUUAAUGUUUGAUGUUCUAACGUUGACCCGUAAUCCGGGUUGCGGACAGUGUCUGGUGGGUAGUUUGACUGGGGCGGUCUCCUCCUAAAGAGUAACGGAGGAGCACGAAGGUUGGCUAAUCCUGGUCGGACAUCAGGAGGUUAGUGCAAUGGCAUAAGCCAGCUUGACUGCGAGCGUGACGGCGCGAGCAGGUGCGAAAGCAGGUCAUAGUGAUCCGGUGGUUCUGAAUGGAAGGGCCAUCGCUCAACGGAUAAAAGGUACUCCGGGGAUAACAGGCUGAUACCGCCCAAGAGUUCAUAUCGACGGCGGUGUUUGGCACCUCGAUGUCGGCUCAUCACAUCCUGGGGCUGAAGUAGGUCCCAAGGGUAUGGCUGUUCGCCAUUUAAAGUGGUACGCGAGCUGGGUUUAGAACGUCGUGAGACAGUUCGGUCCCUAUCUGCCGUGGGCGCUGGAGAACUGAGGGGGGCUGCUCCUAGUACGAGAGGACCGGAGUGGACGCAUCACUGGUGUUCGGGUUGUCAUGCCAAUGGCACUGCCCGGUAGCUAAAUGCGGAAGAGAUAAGUGCUGAAAGCAUCUAAGCACGAAACUUGCCCCGAGAUGAGUUCUCCCUGACUCCUUGAGAGUCCUGAAGGAACGUUGAAGACGACGACGUUGAUAGGCCGGGUGUGUAAGCGCAGCGAUGCGUUGAGCUAACCGGUACUAAUGAACCGUGAGGCUUAACCUUACAACGCCGAAGGUGUUU
This 2931-nucleotide ribosomal RNA is filed under the name Escherichia coli. Its description in RNAcentral is "23S ribosomal RNA". It matches the Rfam family "Bacterial large subunit ribosomal RNA". Lineage: Bacteria; Pseudomonadati; Pseudomonadota; Gammaproteobacteria; Enterobacterales; Enterobacteriaceae. The record is from RNAcentral.